This 232-nucleotide long non-coding RNA is filed under the name Lathyrus oleraceus (garden pea). RNAcentral's name for it is "Pisum sativum (pea) long non-coding RNA (PSAT_LNC022242)". The record is from RNAcentral. Lineage: Eukaryota; Viridiplantae; Streptophyta; Magnoliopsida; Fabales; Fabaceae.
UCAGAGUAAUUAUGCCCCGAAGGGUGUCACACAAUCAUUUCACAACAUUUAUCAAAAUAUCCUGUCAUGCUCAUUUAUUUAAUCAAAAUAAGACUCUUUUGCAUAAUUUGCAGCGGAUACAAAACAUCGACAUUCAAAGCAUGUACUACAUUACAUGUAAAGUUGAUCAACAACUGAAUUAAAACAUAUUCAAACAUCCCCUCCCGAUGUUACAUCUACCAGAGCAUGACCC